GCCGAUUAUUAAAAGUUAUAUAAAUUACCUUGUUUAAAUUCAAGAAUUUAGAAAGAAAAACCUUCAUGACAUAACGAGAAAUAAACUGAAGAAAACUCUACUGCGACACAUCUAGUUAAACCAGCUUACACCCGAGCAUCUUGAUUCCAUGCUGACCUUACACUAAUACAUAAUCCAGAGUCAUUGGAAAGGCUGUACUACUUUAAAACAAGUACGGCUGCCUUCUUUGAUGAGAACAAAAACGCUGCCAGCAUCA
Molecule: unclassified non-coding RNA, 256 nt
Filed under: Hevea brasiliensis (rubber tree)
Lineage: Eukaryota; Viridiplantae; Streptophyta; Magnoliopsida; Malpighiales; Euphorbiaceae
Source: RNAcentral